CCCUUUAGUUAACACCUCGCAGUUUCCAGGCUUUGUUCACCUCUUUAAGUACAAAAGAGUGUUGUUUGGGAGCACACAGUAAGAGAACAGGGUCCUCAGAGCCCAGAGUGAACUAAAUCCUCCAAUAGGUCAGAAGCAUUUAUAGCUUAUUAUAUAAACAGUGACAAGGAUCAAAUAAUUUGCACUGUGGGCUUUCACACGCUCUAGGGAAAUUGCUGAAAUUAUUAAAAAAUAUGGGAAAUCCUAGCAAGUAAUCCAUCACCUUCACAAAUAUUUUCCUCUUUGCAGCUAAUUCCAUACAGAUGUGCAAGAGAUGAGGCAAAGAUGCUUGUGUUUGAAUUUCUGCUAAAAGGUGCCUUUUCCCAGGUGGCUGCCAUCAGCUUGCCCUUCAUGGAGCAUUGUCUUAUGGGAUUGUGGAAAAAGAGAGGCAAACAGCUUGCUCUGAAGCACCCAGGG
This 456-nucleotide long non-coding RNA is filed under the name Anas platyrhynchos platyrhynchos (common mallard). Its description in RNAcentral is "lncRNA (ENSAPLG00000025515.1)". The record is from RNAcentral. Lineage: Eukaryota; Metazoa; Chordata; Aves; Anseriformes; Anatidae.